GGAGACGUAUCGAAGUGGUCAUAACGAGAACGACUCGAAAUCGUUUUGCCUUCACGGGCACGAGGGUUCGAAUCCCUCCGUCUCCG
Roseburia sp. CAG:309 is the source of this 86-nucleotide transfer RNA. It matches the Rfam family "tRNA". Rfam says of the family: Transfer RNA (tRNA) molecules are approximately 80 nucleotides in length. Their secondary structure includes four short double-helical elements and three loops (D, anti-codon, and T loops). Lineage: Bacteria; Bacillati; Bacillota; Clostridia; Lachnospirales; Lachnospiraceae. The record is from Rfam.